ACUUGGAUUUGUCUAUAGUUUUCAGAUUGCUUGUCGUCCCUUUUGCUCCAAUAUAGCCAUGGGGAGACUUGGAAUCGAAUUCCGAGUGGGUAGGAGAGAAUUUUACCUUUUUUAGCGGUCGACGGCGGCUCCAGUGCAGCGGCGCUGGGGGUCGGUCUCCUUCUCCGGUGGCUUGUCCUUCUUCUUCGGCGAGAGCAUGUGCGGCUAGGGUUAGAGUUCUCCUGUGACGCAUUGUUUUAUGCUUAUCCCACAUUGAUCUGUGUCAUCCAUUCGUGUCGAUAUGGAGUGAGGAAAGUCAUCUGAUCAUUUCCUUGUUUAGGCCAAUUGCGUAGAUAUUUCUGGGUCGUUCAUCGCGAUUGAUCUCAUCUGUUCGAUCGGGCCUAAGUAGAGAAUGCAUCUGAGCCAUUCACGUGCGCAAGAUUGAAUCUGAGCCAUCAGAUCGUUAGACACACAGAUCACUCGCAUGGCCUCCUAC
Molecule: long non-coding RNA, 475 nt
Filed under: Carica papaya (papaya)
Lineage: Eukaryota; Viridiplantae; Streptophyta; Magnoliopsida; Brassicales; Caricaceae
Description: long non-coding RNA (CPAP_LNC008450)
Source: RNAcentral